UGCCCUGUGGCUCAAAGGAGUAGGGCAUCAGCCUCAUAUGCUGGAGGUGGCGGGUUCAAACCCAGCCCGGCCAA
Molecule: non-coding RNA, 74 nt
Organism: Otolemur garnettii (small-eared galago)
Lineage: Eukaryota; Metazoa; Chordata; Mammalia; Primates; Galagidae
Source: Rfam